Molecule: long non-coding RNA, 2373 nt
Organism: Bos taurus (domestic cattle)
Lineage: Eukaryota; Metazoa; Chordata; Mammalia; Artiodactyla; Bovidae
Source: Ensembl
UUCCAAAUAUGAACCUGGCCUUCCAGUCUUGGGUUCUUUUGAAGAGCUCUAAAAGGGUGACAGUACUGAUGACAUAAAUGGGCAGAGUAGGACUGAGUGGGACGGGAAAAUCUGCAGCAUAAGGUCAGUUUCACUUUGAUUCUUUAUUGGCCUCAGUUUGAAUGACCAUCCAUCCAAUCAAGAUUGCAACCUGGAGUGACCUUGCGCAUUUUGCUCUUACUCAGCUGCUGUUUUAAUAGCCUAUACCUAUGGCUAUUGAGUCAGACACGACUGAGUGUGCACACACACAUAGAUGUUGUCAGUCUGUCUCAAAUCGUUUUUUUUUUUUUUUUUUAAUCUAAUGAGCUUUUGCUUUUUGCUCUUUUAUUUCACAUUCUGUGGUCAUAAUUUAAUGUCUUUUCUUGAAAGCUAUUAAUCACUCUCACUCAGCUCUGGUGUCACAUGAAUUUAAUGACUUGCCAAACCCACAUCAAAGUAAAAGGGAUAAGCUUUCCACACUAACAUUUGAAUGAAGUUCCCCUCAUUAGAAACAUUACAAAUACAGGCACCCUCAAAGAGUCGGAAAACAAGGGUACAAAUCCCAGCUUGACCUCUUUCUGGCUAUCUGAUUGUGAACAAUUAUGUGGUGUUUCUGGGACUCUGCUUCCUAAGCUAUGGGAAGGUUGGCCUUUUCAGAGGGUCUCAACCUAUGGUUUCUGAGUGAUAUUUAGAGGGUCUGUGGGCUCUCCUAAAAUUAUAAUACACUUAGUUAUUCUGUCUAUACAUGUACCCUCCUACCCCUCGCCAAGAGGAUCCAGUGCCUCCUGUACAUUCUCAAAGGCAUGCAUGACCAAAAGAUUGAGAACUCUUGAGCCAGAUGGUCUUUGAGAAGACUCUGGAGGCAAAGUGUAUAAUAUGCAAGUUUUCAAAAAUCAUUGUCUUUAGCCUUCUAAAAAUCAAUUUGCAAAACCUAUCAAAACUUCCAAAAUGAGGACUGUAAACUGCUUGCUCAGAGGCAGUGGGCAUCCUGGUCUCCCGGCUGCAGAAACCCAGUAAUGGAAAGAAUCCUAAAUCAGGGUAGCAAGAAGUUCUCUGGUGUCAGGCUAAGGGAUUUGGAGUUAACUUUUCAGAUGGGAAGACUUACUGACGGUUUUGAGGAGAGAGGUGACUCAAUGAAAGCAUUAAUUGGAGGAAGAACAAAUUAGAAUCCAUGCAGCAAAUGACAGAGAAAGAGCCUGAGGAUGCUGGACCAAAGGAACCCUCUUACAGGUCAGCAUUUCCUCCACUGUUUCUGGUUACUCUAAUGACCUGAGACAUAUUAAUAGGUGUUCCCCCAGAAAAGAGGUGCUGUAGCCAAUAAUCUAAGAAAAUGCUGAGUUAGGAAGUAAGGUUUUCAUCACGUGAUUCUCAGAACCUCUAAUAGAGUUCUACCGAACACAGUAUUUUUCCAUUUUUAAUUGCCCAUGACCCUCCUCACCAAUGCCACAGUUGAGUUCUGACAGUGAAGAGCAUGAGCUAUGAUAGGCAAUGGAAAAAUGCUACUGCUGCCACUGCUAAUGAGCACUUCGUAAAUCACAUUUGUUAAAAUACUUCAUGGCUUUAAGACUUGGAUUGCCACCCACAGGACAGCUGUUAUAAAGUUCUUGACCUGCAGCUAAAAAUCUAUUUUAUCUUUUCUAUACUUUUAAAUUUUAAUUUUUCACUCAAAGUCUUGGGGAUACAAAGGUAGAAAACAUCACUUGCCAUCUGCUGCUACUACCUUGUUGGGAGGACAGAUAACUGAUCAGACACUGCCUACACUUGAGAGGCAGACCCAGAAGCGUCAUUGAAAUCACCCAGAAAGGACAUUUAUUCCGACUUUGAGGGCUUGGGGAUUAGUCUCAAGAUGAGAGGAUAAAUAAGUCACAAGUUGAAGGGUUAGCCAGAAACUUGCCAGGAUGAAAAAGAGAAGAAACAAGAAAGUCUGUGCAAAGCCUUGGAAGUAUGAGAACUGGGGAAAGGUGAGCAGUUCUCUGCUGUCAGAAAAUGGACUAAAGUCAGAAAGUUAGAAAGAUGACACUGGUCAAGUCCUGAAGAGUUACUACAUCAAGUGCUCUAUGUGCUAGGUCAAAGAAUUUUGAAGAUACAUCUAUGGUAGAAUUUUCAACUAAGAACAUACUAGACUUAUAUUUUAGAAAGGUCAUUCUAAGUCUUUAAGACUCUAUUUCCUCCCUAUAAAGCAAGAAUCACUGCUUCUGAGGGCUAGCUGCCCGGCAAGCUUAGAUGCCAACACUACGGCACAAGAUUUUUGAGAAAAGAAAGAGCCUUAUUGAGAAGUCAACCAGCAAAGAGGCAGGGAGCAAGACUCUCAAUCUCCCAGAUCCAGUGUUUAGGGUGGAAUUUAAGGAGUUGGGC